This 371-nucleotide ribosomal RNA is filed under the name uncultured bacterium. Its description in RNAcentral is "bacterial SSU rRNA". It matches the Rfam family "Bacterial small subunit ribosomal RNA", at positions 521 to 896 of the family's 1533-position model. The record is from RNAcentral.
UAAUACGGAGGAUCCAAGCGUUAUCCGGAAUCAUUGGGUUUAAAGGGUCCGUAGGCGGGCCUGUAAGUCAGUGGUGAAAUCUCCCCGCUCAACGGGGAAACGGCCAUUGAUACUGCAGGCCUUGAAUUAUUGGGAAGUAACUAGAAUAUGUAGUGUAGCGGUGAAAUGCUUAGAUAUUACAUGGAAUACCGAUUGCGAAGGCAGGUUACUACCAAUACAUUGACGCUGAUGGACGAAAGCGUGGGGAGCGAACAGGAUUAGAUACCCUGGUAGUCCACGCCGUAAACGAUGGAUACUAGCUGUUGGGGGCAACCUCAGUGGCUAAGCGAAAGUGAUAAGUAUCCCACCUGGGGAGUACGAACGCAAGUUUG